Molecule: ribosomal RNA, 253 nt
Filed under: uncultured bacterium
Lineage: Bacteria
Description: partial 16S ribosomal RNA
Rfam family: Bacterial small subunit ribosomal RNA
Source: RNAcentral
GACAGAGGUGCCAAGCGUUAGGCGGAAUCACUGGGCUUAAAGCGUGUGUAGGCGGAUCGUUAAGUACCUUGUGAAAUCCCACGGCUCAACCGUGGAACUGCUGGGUAUACUGGCGGUCUUGAGCCACCUAGGGGCAACUGGAACAAGCGGUGGAGCGGUGAAAUGCGUAGAUAUCGGGAGGAACACCAGUGGCGAAGGCGACUCUCUGGCCUGUAACUGACACUGAGGCGCGAAAGCGUGGGGAGCGAACAGG